This 462-nucleotide ribosomal RNA is filed under the name Triticum aestivum (bread wheat). RNAcentral describes it as "partial small subunit ribosomal RNA". Lineage: Eukaryota; Viridiplantae; Streptophyta; Magnoliopsida; Poales; Poaceae. The record is from RNAcentral.
AUGAAAGAAUACUACUGCUAUAAAUUCCAUACACGACCAAGCAUAUUCAACCCAAUAUUGCACGGCGGACGGCUUUUUCAGCAGUUUGCUGUAGAUACAUACAUAAAGAUUGAAAACUCCAGACUGGAUUACAUGUGGCAUCAUCAAAACAAAAUAAGGGCGGAUCUAUACCAAGGCCUUCUAGACAGCAUUCAAGCUGGAGAACAGAAUGGAGAUGCAAUUGGAAAACGGAGAGUACUUGCGUCAUCAUUUAUUGGAGGGCCACGAGAUAAAAUUCGUCGGUAUCUAGAUGCUAUGGCUUUAGUUAGAAAAUAUGGAAAACCAGACGUAUUCGUCACAAUGACCUGCAACCCCAACUGGGAAGAGAUCACUACAGUUUGGACAAACACCACAAGAUCGCCCAGACAUUGUCGUUCGUGUUUUCAAGGCGAAGCUAGAAGAAAUGAAGAAGCAACUAUUUGA